RNAcentral lists this ribosomal RNA (253 nucleotides) under uncultured bacterium. RNAcentral describes it as "partial 16S ribosomal RNA". It matches the Rfam family "Bacterial small subunit ribosomal RNA", at positions 524 to 776 of the family's 1533-position model. The record is from RNAcentral.
UACGAAGGGGGCUAGCGUUGCUCGGAAUUACUGGGCGUAAAGAGUGUGUAGGCGGUGCUCUAAGUUCGGUGUGAAAUCUCCCGGCUUAACUGGGAGGGUGCGCCGGAAACUGGAGUGCUCGAGCGUGGGAGAGGAAAGCGGAAUUCCUGGUGUAGCGGUGAAAUGCGUAGAUAUCAGGAGGAACACCUGCGGUGUAGACGGCUUUCUGGACCAUUGCUGACGCUGAGACACGAAAGCGUGGGUAGCAAACAGG